ACUCAAUUGUGAGCCUCUCUCCUAAUUGUGUCUCACAGAUGCAUAGUGAGGAGGUUAUUCAGCUUGUAUUUACAUCAUUACCCAUCUACCAUCAGAGUGUAUUGCUAACUGGUUCUCCUUACAAAUGCUUGUUGUGUUUGUUUUGUGUUUUUAAUUUUAUGUUCCACUGCUUGUCUACUUUUUCAUUGUUUUUAAUCCAAACUUCUACUUCAGCCUCUGCUCAUGAAGUCUCCCUCUCCCGAGUCCUUUGGGCUGCAAUAAUCAGACUCAAGCUGAGUGGAGACACACACUGAACAGAUGACAUGCCAGCCAAACUUGCCCCAAAAGUUGGGGAGGGAAAUGGUGCUCAACUGAAGGCAGCUGCUCUUGGGAGAGUCUUGACAGAGACCUCUGCAGCGAUAGUGCCUGGCAUCAGUGAUUGACGGGGAGCCAUCUGAUCAACUUUUGUUUCUGAAGGAAAACCCUGAGGAAACUCACUACCAUCCUCAGUGGCUGGUGGAUGGAUAAAGAGGUGGAAAGCAAGUUGUGUGUAGAGUGAGCAGAAACUAUGAAGAGCCAUGAGCAGUUCCGGGGGAGCAGCUGCGAGCAUCAUGGAAGGCCUCUGCCCUGUCGGAGAAGCCGGGAUCCUCUUCAGCUUGGACACUACAUCAGUGACACUGGCAUCUCCCCCAUGCCAGAGGGAACUGCACAAGACACUUCAUUCUCUUUAAUCUGCUCUACCCCGUCAUAUACCAUUGUUUAUGAUGCUAACAAUUAUGAUGGUGCAAUAGCACACUCAGUGACUCAUCAGCUCCCGCCUUCCAGAGGCACUCAGCUCUCACAUACGCGAGUUUCUGAUCCAGCAGCUCUGGGAUGAGGCCCAGGAAUCUGAAUUUCUAGGGGCUUCUCAGAUGAGGAUGAAGUUGUCGAUGUGGAGAACAUACUUUGAAAACCAUUGAGAAGAUGCCGAUCCUGCCAAUGCCAGCAGUCCUACUCUGCUGCUUCUCCACCCUAAACAUCGUAUUUUUUAAAGAGAAUCAGUUUGAUGAAUGACAUGUUAUUAGCAUUCUUGAUAUUCCUAACUACUAAUUCUUUCAGAGUACCUGCAUGUCUGGAUCCAGCCGUGACUACCAACUAAUAAAUAAUAAAGCCACUAGUUUCCUCUCUUCCUCUCUCCUACAUUCCCUACAUGGCAUUGAUCCUAAAAUGGCUACCUUCACAUCACCCAGGGAAAAAAAGGAAUUUAGGCACAAACAUAAGAAAACAUUUGAUAAAAAUAUUACUUUUGUAAUUUAGUAACCUAGUGAGAUAGAAAAACAUAUUUUAUCUGUUUCAAAAGUUGAAUUUCAUCAGCGUAUGGCAUAUGCUUCAUUAUACUGGUUAGUGAUGUCUGUUACAAACAAGGUUCCCAAAUGCCAUGCCAGCUUGCAUAGUUCUGAGAAAGAGGUCCAAAUAUAUUCCAUUGCAUUUCCCAAUUAAAAUUGUUCAUUUUGGAGUGAAGUUGUAAGAAUGAUUGUCCAGGCAGCCCACUCUUUUAUUUAUAGUCCUUUCAAAUUAAAUCUGAAGGCAUUUCACUGAUGAUUUGAUUCUGAUUUUUUUUUUAUGUUUCUCACAUUCAAUAAAUGUCAAAUUGCUGG
Molecule: long non-coding RNA, 1616 nt
Filed under: Homo sapiens (human)
Lineage: Eukaryota; Metazoa; Chordata; Mammalia; Primates; Hominidae
Description: non-protein coding lnc-EPSTI1-3:4
Source: RNAcentral